CCCUUAGAUGUCCUGGGCCGCACGCGCGCUACACUGACAUGUUCAACAAGCCUCCUAGUUCGACAGGAUUUGGGAAACCUUUGAACGCAUGUCGUGAUAGGGAUAGAUCAUUGCAAUUAUUGAUCUUGAACGAGGAAUUCCUAGUAAACGCGAGUCAUCAGCUCGCAUUGAUUACGUCCCUGCCCUUUGUACACACCGCCCGUCGCACCUACCGAUUGAAUGUUUCGGUGAAGAUUCCGGAUAGGACUUUUUUGAUUUAUUUCAAUUUUGUCUUAAAAGCUAUCUAAACCUCAACAUUUAGAGGAAGGUGAAGUCGUAACA
Molecule: ribosomal RNA, 321 nt
Filed under: uncultured eukaryote
Lineage: Eukaryota
Description: partial 18S ribosomal RNA
Rfam family: Eukaryotic small subunit ribosomal RNA
Source: RNAcentral